ACUGGGAUAACUCCGGAAACCGGGGCUAAUACCGGAUAAUAUUUUGAACCGCAUGGUUCAAUAGUGAAAGACGGUUUCGGCUGUCACUUAUAGAUGGACCCGCGCCGUAUUAGCUAGUUGGUAAGGUAACGGCUUACCAAGGCGACGAUACGUAGCCGACCUGAGAGGGUGAUCGGCCACACUGGAACUGAGACACGGUCCAGACUCCUACGGGAGGCAGCAGUAGGGAAUCUUCCGCAAUGGGCGAAAGCCUGACGGAGCAACGCCGCGUGAGUGAUGAAGGUCUUCGGAUCGUAAAACUCUGUUGUUAGGGAAGAACAAAUUUGUUAGUAACUGAACAAGUCUUGACAGUACCUAACCAGAAAGCCACGGCUAACUACGUGCCAGCAGCCGCGGUAAUACGUAGGUGGCAAGCGUUAUCCGGAAUUAUUGGGCGUAAAGCGCGCGUAGGCGGUUUCUUAAGUCUGAUGUGAAAGCCCACGGCUCAACCGUGGAGGGUCAUUGGAAACUGGAAACUUGUGCAGAACGAGAGU
Molecule: ribosomal RNA, 533 nt
Filed under: Staphylococcus sp.
Lineage: Bacteria; Bacillati; Bacillota; Bacilli; Caryophanales; Staphylococcaceae
Description: bacterial SSU rRNA
Rfam family: Bacterial small subunit ribosomal RNA
Source: RNAcentral